Molecule: ribosomal RNA, 253 nt
Filed under: uncultured bacterium
Lineage: Bacteria
Description: partial 16S ribosomal RNA
Rfam family: Bacterial small subunit ribosomal RNA
Source: RNAcentral
UACGGAGGGUGCGCGCGUUAAUCGGAAUUACUGGGCGUAAAGCGUGCGCAGGCGGUUGUGUAAGACAGAUGUGAAAUCCCCGGGCUCAACCUGGGAACUGCAUUUGUGACUGCAUAGCCAGAGUGCGGCAGAGGGGGAUGGAAUUCCGCGUGUAGCAGUGAAAUGCGUAGAUAUGCGGAGGAACACCGAUGGCGAAGGCAAUCCCCUGGGCCUGCACUGACGCUCAUGCACGAAAGCGUGGGGAGCAAACAGG